Molecule: ribosomal RNA, 254 nt
Filed under: uncultured bacterium
Lineage: Bacteria
Description: partial 16S ribosomal RNA
Rfam family: Bacterial small subunit ribosomal RNA
Source: RNAcentral
UACGUAGGGGGCUAGCGUUGUCCGGAAUCAUUGGGCGUAAAGAGCGUGUAGGCGGUCCGGUAAGUCCGCUGUGAAAGUCGGGGGCUCAACCCUCGAAUGCCGGUGGAUACUGUCGGGCUAGAGUGCGGAAGAGGCGAGUGGAAUUCCUGGUGUAGCGGUGAAAUGCGCAGAUAUCAGGAGGAACACCGGUGGCGAAGGCGGGUCUCUGGGCAAUAACUGACGCUGGAGGAGCGAAAGCGUGGGGAGCGAACAGG